This is a long non-coding RNA of Selaginella moellendorffii, 285 nucleotides long. RefSeq lists it as uncharacterized. The transcript has 3 exons. The record is from RefSeq and is a predicted model, not a curated record. Lineage: Eukaryota; Viridiplantae; Streptophyta; Lycopodiopsida; Selaginellales; Selaginellaceae.
UUCAACCAAACCCUCGGGGAUUGUUUAAGCCCAUACAGGGCGCGAUUCAGCUUGCAAACAAGAUGUUCCUCACCAGGAAAGCAGUGCGAACGUCCAACUGGUGCAGUUCCAGGUCGUACUUGGCAGCCAGUGCAAGGAUCACUCGCACAGAGGUCAACUUCACAACUGUUCCAUCAGGUUUGUACUUGACUGUGUAAAUCCAUUUCGAGCUCACAAGGUGAGCACCUUCAGGUAAGGUUGUCUUUGUCAUUGUAUUGUUUCGCUCAUGCGAAUGCAUUUCAGCAU